This is a long non-coding RNA of Trichomycterus rosablanca, 575 nucleotides long. RefSeq lists it as uncharacterized. The record is from RefSeq and is a predicted model, not a curated record. The transcript has 3 exons. Lineage: Eukaryota; Metazoa; Chordata; Actinopteri; Siluriformes; Trichomycteridae.
GCUGAAGCGGCAGACAACCACUGCUGCUGCGCGGCCCUGAAACUGAGUGAGAAAGUGUGUGUGUGAGAGUGUGUGUGUACUAAGAAGAGCAACCACUGAAAGUACAUAGCAGCAUUAACUAUUUAUGAGUCAAAAGGGAGAGGAUCCAGCAAUCACAUGUUUUAUGAUUUGGCAGAGCAUCCAAUUGCGUCAUGCUUCCCCACCAAUGCCGAUCUCUGCUCUGAUUGAGGAGAAGGAAGCUAACCCACGCACCCUCCGACACGUGGGCAGCAGCCGUGUGCAUCUUAUCACCUACACUUUGACGAGUGCAGUGCAGCCUAGCUGCGUGUACGGAGGGACACACCCCAAAGGCACUCUUUUUCUCAUCUCUGUGCCGGCGCCAUCAAUCAGCCAGCAGAGGUGUAUUGUCUCUCAAUGCAAAAAGACAGAGGUGUGGUUUACCUUGGACAGUACUUCUUCAUUUGGCAAUUCGGGUUCUGAUGUUCAUCAUUUACUAGCCUGCCAGGGGUGCUAUCUUGCUUCGUGGCAACAAUGCUUCAAGAUAAAAAAAAAGACAAUGCCAUAAGAUUCCAUAA